RNAcentral lists this unclassified non-coding RNA (81 nucleotides) under Populus trichocarpa (black cottonwood). Its description in RNAcentral is "precursor microRNA ptr-MIR482". The record is from RNAcentral. Lineage: Eukaryota; Viridiplantae; Streptophyta; Magnoliopsida; Malpighiales; Salicaceae.
UCUUUGGAGAUGGGAGAGUAUGCAAGAAGGAAAAAUUCAUGAUUUAAUAUUCUUUCUUGCCUACUCCUCCCAUUCCAUCUG